CUUGGUCAUUUAGAGGAAGUAAAAGUCGUAACAAGGUUUCCGUAGGUGAACCUGCGGAAGGAUCAUUACAGAGUUCAUGCCCUUCGGGGUAGAUCUCCCACCCUUGUGUAUCAUCAUCAAAUGUUGCUUUGGCGGGCCGCAAGCCUGGCUUGCCCGGAUUCGCGUCCGGCGUGCCCGCCAGAGAACCCCAAACUCUGAAUGUUAGUGCCGUCUGAGUACUAUUAAAUAGUUAAAACUUUCAACAACGGAUCUCUUGGUUCUGGCAUCGAUGAAGAACGCAGCGAAAUGCGAUAAGUAAUGUGAAUUGCAGAAUUCAGUGAAUCAUCGAAUCUUUGAACGCACAUUGCGCCCCUUGGUAUUCCGGGGGGCAUGCCUGUUCGAGCGUCAUUAAUACCAAUCUAGCCCGGCUAGGUGUUGGGCCUCGCCGUCUGGCGGGCCUUAAAAUCAGUGGCGGUGCUCCUCAGCUCUACGCGUAGUAAUUAUUCUCGCUACAGGGCCUGUGGAGAUGCUUGCCAGCAACCCCAAAUUUUUUCAGGUUGACCUCGGAUCGGGUAGGGAUACCCGCUGAACUUAAGCAUAUCAAUAAGCGGAGGA
This 594-nucleotide ribosomal RNA is filed under the name uncultured Lachnum. RNAcentral's name for it is "eukaryotic LSU rRNA". The stretch from base 234 to 387 matches the Rfam family "5.8S ribosomal RNA". Lineage: Eukaryota; Fungi; Ascomycota; Leotiomycetes; Helotiales; Hyaloscyphaceae. The record is from RNAcentral.